GGGCAUAUGGUGUAGUGGUUAUCACUCUUGCUUUGCACUCACAUUGUAAGGUAUUGUAAGCGGUCCAGGGUUCAACUCCCUGUGUGUCCA
Molecule: non-coding RNA, 90 nt
Organism: Favolaschia claudopus
Lineage: Eukaryota; Fungi; Basidiomycota; Agaricomycetes; Agaricales; Mycenaceae
Source: the annotation of a GenBank genome assembly